This 352-nucleotide long non-coding RNA is filed under the name Elaeis guineensis (African oil palm). RNAcentral describes it as "long non-coding RNA (EGUI_LNC055758)". Lineage: Eukaryota; Viridiplantae; Streptophyta; Magnoliopsida; Arecales; Arecaceae. The record is from RNAcentral.
GGUGAUGAGCUGGUGUCCAAUCUGCAAGAGCAGCCAGGAAGUCAGUAUGAAAGCUAAGAAAUGAACUAAGUGAAGAAGCGAAAGGAAGAAAAAAAUAAAUCGGCCUACCUCAAGAAAGGACCCCAGAGAGUCCCAAACCCGCUGUUCAGGAUCGGCAUGGACGAUCCUGUGGACGAUCUCGGGCAAAACGCACCUGUCGACCAACCUUUUUAUUAAAUCCCUAUUGUUGAAGGGAUUCUCUCUUGGAUCCUCUUUGGAGCCGUUGGACCCUUCGAUGGUAGCCCUGCUGUUGCUGCUGAUCUUGCGGGCCACCGUCUUCUUCCUUCUCUUCCUUUCGACCCCCGAUGCCUCC